GAUGAACGCUGGCGGCGUGCCUAAUACAUGCCAGUCGAGCGAACGGACGAGAAGCUUGCUUCUCUGAUGUUAGCGGCGGACGGGUGAGUAACACGUGGAUAACCUACCUAUAAGACUGGGAUAACUUCGGGAAACCGGAGCUAAUACCGGAUAAUAUUUUGAACCGCAUGGUUCAAAAGUGAAAGACGGUCUUGCUGUCACUUAUAGAUGGAUCCGCGCUGCAUUAGCUAGUUGGUAAGGUAACGGCUUACCAAGGCAACGAUGCAUAGCCGACCUGAGAGGGUGAUCGGCCACACUGGAACUGAGACACGGUCCAGACUCCUACGGGAGGCAGCAGUAGGGAAUCUUCCGCAAUGGGCGAAAGCCUGACGGAGCAACGCCGCGUGAGUGAUGAAGGUCUUCGGAUCGUAAAGCUCUGUUAUUAGGGAAGAACAUAUGUGUAAGUAACUGUGCACAUCUUGACGGUACCUAAUCAGAAAGCCACGGCUAACUACGUG
RNAcentral lists this ribosomal RNA (497 nucleotides) under uncultured bacterium. RNAcentral's name for it is "partial 16S ribosomal RNA". It matches the Rfam family "Bacterial small subunit ribosomal RNA", at positions 28 to 507 of the family's 1533-position model. The record is from RNAcentral.